CGUGACCGGCCCGGGGGAGGCGGGGGCGCCCCGGGCUCGGCGCCGAGGGGUCGCGCUCCCCUCUCCUGACGCCUCCGACUCCCGGUCUCCAAAGCCAGAAGAGGAGGUUUGAUUCAGCAACUGUUUGCUCCCUUUUUCUGGUCGCUCUGACCCUCUCCGGAUACUGGGUUGAUCCACGGAAAAACCGAAGACGUUUGGGAUUUAAUUAUUCCUCUCAGCUUUUGGAGUCUUUUACUUCUCACUUGGACAAGAACUCAAGAGCAGAAUCUCUGUGUUGCAAUCUGGUUCCUAAGGAGGAAGAGGAAGGCAGCCCUGGAGUGGUUUCUUUACAGUAAUUUCAACAGAAGAGUGAGAGAUGGAACCCGAAGAAGAAAGGAUUCGUUACAGCCAGAGAUUGCGUGGUACCAUGCGACGGCGCUAUGAAGAUGAUGGCAUUUCAGGUGAUGAAAUUGAAGGGAAAAGAACUUUGACUUGGAAGAGAAACUGCAUACCAACAAAUAUAAUGCCAAUUUUGUUACUUUUAUGGAAGGAAAAGGUCAGUAUAAUUUUGGUUCCAACAUAUAGUACUUUGGUGUGGGAAGUCAUAGAAUGUGAGCAUUGGGGGUUUAGCAUUUAUCUAGCUAAAAUAUUGCCUGUUGAUGUUAUUUUCUCUUGUUAUUCAGUGCCCCUUGUAUGCACUCGACCCCGAGUCCUCCCACCCUGUGAGUCAUUCUCUGCUAUAUUAGAAGUAAUCUUUUAUUAG
This 742-nucleotide long non-coding RNA is filed under the name Aotus nancymaae (Ma's night monkey). RNAcentral's name for it is "lncRNA (ENSANAG00000039299.1)". Lineage: Eukaryota; Metazoa; Chordata; Mammalia; Primates; Aotidae. The record is from RNAcentral.